This 73-nucleotide transfer RNA is filed under the name Chelonia mydas (Green sea turtle). It matches the Rfam family "tRNA". From Rfam's summary of the family: Transfer RNA (tRNA) molecules are approximately 80 nucleotides in length. Their secondary structure includes four short double-helical elements and three loops (D, anti-codon, and T loops). Further hydrogen bonds mediate the characteristic L-shaped molecular structure. tRNAs have two regions of fundamental functional importance: the anti-codon, which is responsible for specific mRNA codon recognition, and the 3' end, to which the tRNAs corresponding amino acid is attached (by aminoacyl-tRNA synthetases). tRNAs cope with the degeneracy of the genetic code in two manners: having more than one tRNA (with a specific anti-codon) for a particular amino acid; and 'wobble' base-pairing, i.e. permitting non-standard base-pairing at the 3rd anti-codon position. The record is from Rfam by way of RNAcentral. Lineage: Eukaryota; Metazoa; Chordata; Testudines; Cheloniidae.
GGAAGGAUGGCUUUGUGUUUAUAGCACUGGAUUUGGGAUUCAGAAAGUCUGGGUUUCAUUUCUGGCUCUUCCA